This 1438-nucleotide ribosomal RNA is filed under the name Lactiplantibacillus plantarum. RNAcentral describes it as "bacterial SSU rRNA". It matches the Rfam family "Bacterial small subunit ribosomal RNA". The record is from RNAcentral. Lineage: Bacteria; Bacillati; Bacillota; Bacilli; Lactobacillales; Lactobacillaceae.
CGAACUCUGGUAUUGAUUGGUGCUUGCAUCAUGAUUUACAUUUGAGUGAGUGGCGAACUGGUGAGUAACACGUGGGAAACCUGCCCAGAAGCGGGGGAUAACACCUGGAAACAGAUGCUAAUACCGCAUAACAACUUGGACCGCAUGGUCCGAGUUUGAAAGAUGGCUUCGGCUAUCACUUUUGGAUGGUCCCGCGGCGUAUUAGCUAGAUGGUGGGGUAACGGCUCACCAUGGCAAUGAUACGUAGCCGACCUGAGAGGGUAAUCGGCCACAUUGGGACUGAGACACGGCCCAAACUCCUACGGGAGGCAGCAGUAGGGAAUCUUCCACAAUGGACGAAAGUCUGAUGGAGCAACGCCGCGUGAGUGAAGAAGGGUUUCGGCUCGUAAAACUCUGUUGUUAAAGAAGAACAUAUCUGAGAGUAACUGUUCAGGUAUUGACGGUAUUUAACCAGAAAGCCACGGCUAACUACGUGCCAGCAGCCGCGGUAAUACGUAGGUGGCAAGCGUUGUCCGGAUUUAUUGGGCGUAAAGCGAGCGCAGGCGGUUUUUUAAGUCUGAUGUGAAAGCCUUCGGCUCAACCGAAGAAGUGCAUCGGAAACUGGGAAACUUGAGUGCAGAAGAGGACAGUGGAACUCCAUGUGUAGCGGUGAAAUGCGUAGAUAUAUGGAAGAACACCAGUGGCGAAGGCGGCUGUCUGGUCUGUAACUGACGCUGAGGCUCGAAAGUAUGGGUAGCAAACAGGAUUAGAUACCCUGGUAGUCCAUACCGUAAACGAUGAAUGCUAAGUGUUGGAGGGUUUCCGCCCUUCAGUGCUGCAGCUAACGCAUUAAGCAUUCCGCCUGGGGAGUACGGCCGCAAGGCUGAAACUCAAAGGAAUUGACGGGGGCCCGCACAAGCGGUGGAGCAUGUGGUUUAAUUCGAAGCUACGCGAAGAACCUUACCAGGUCUUGACAUACUAUGCAAAUCUAAGAGAUUAGACGUUCCCUUCGGGGACAUGGAUACAGGUGGUGCAUGGUUGUCGUCAGCUCGUGUCGUGAGAUGUUGGGUUAAGUCCCGCAACGAGCGCAACCCUUAUUAUCAGUUGCCAGCAUUAAGUUGGGCACUCUGGUGAGACUGCCGGUGACAAACCGGAGGAAGGUGGGGAUGACGUCAAAUCAUCAUGCCCCUUAUGACCUGGGCUACACACGUGCUACAAUGGAUGGUACAACGAGUUGCGAACUCGCGAGAGUAAGCUAAUCUCUUAAAGCCAUUCUCAGUUCGGAUUGUAGGCUGCAACUCGCCUACAUGAAGUCGGAAUCGCUAGUAAUCGCGGAUCAGCAUGCCGCGGUGAAUACGUUCCCGGGCCUUGUACACACCGCCCGUCACACCAUGAGAGUUUGUAACACCCAAAGUCGGUGGGGUAACCUUUUAGGAACCAGCCGCCUAAGGUGGGACAG